RNA transcript from Salvelinus namaycush (lake trout), 3732 nucleotides. It is a transcript of the gene named KH domain-containing, RNA-binding, signal transduction-associated protein 1-like, with no coding region annotated. The transcript has 11 exons. The record is from RefSeq and is a predicted model, not a curated record. NCBI's taxonomy places the organism in Eukaryota, Metazoa, Chordata, Actinopteri, Salmoniformes, Salmonidae.
CGCCGCGACAGGAGCACCCAACCGCCCUCGUCAGCAGCCGUGCGGUAGCAGCGAGAGCUCUACAUGCGAAGCAGCGAAAUUAAUCUACACGAAUAAGUGGAUAUUUACGCACUGAUUACAUAACUUUACUGGACUAUUUAUUCUACUGUUGUUGUUUAUGUUUUCUAUCCACCCGAAGUUUGUCUUUAAUUGCACAAUUCGCAUUUAUAACUGAUUUCCAACUCAAAAUGGAGAAUCAAGAAGGCAAAUACCUCCCGGAGCUCCUCGCGGAGAAAGACAGUCUGGACGUGUCAUUUACGCACGCGAUGAAACUUUUAUCCGCAGAAAUCGAGAGAAUCCAGAAAGGUGAACCCAAGAAGGAAGGAGGAGACGCGUACCUGGACCUUUUCACCGUGAAGAAUAUCAAACUGAAGGAGCGUGUGCUCAUACCUGUCAAACAGUAUCCGAGGUUCAACUUUGUGGGGAAGAUUCUUGGCCCUCAGGGCAACACAAUCAAACGCCUUCAGGAAGAGACUGGGGCCAAGAUCUCUGUACUGGGCAAAGGUUCCAUGAGGGACAAGGCGAAGGAGGAGGGUCUGAGGAAAGGUGGUGAGCCCAAGUACGCACACCUGUCUAUGGAGCUGCAUGUCUUCAUCGAGGUGUUUGCCCCCGUGCCCGAGGCUUAUCUACGCAUGGCACACGCCAUGGAGGAAGUCAAGAAGUUCCUUUUUCCUGACAUGAUGGAUGACAUCUGUCAGGAACAGUUCAUGGAGAUGGGUUAUCUGAACGGGGGCCAGGAGCACGGGCCAGGGGCCCCACGAGGUAGAGGCGGACCACCGGGCCCCAGGGGCCGAGGAGGGCCACCGGGACAAACAGGGGCAUCCAGGGGUAGAGGUAUGCUCCCACGUGGAGGUGCCACAAGGGGAGGUGCGCCCCGCGGAGGGCCAGCCAGAGUUGGGGUAGUGAGGGGGGCACCGGCAGGAAGAGGGGGACCUCCAGCUGUCCCCGCCCGAGGGGCAGCAACGCCCCGAGCCAGACCCCCUGCCCCUGGGGGACCACCCAGGAUGCCACCCCCACACCAACACGCCCCAGCACAUGGACAAUAUGAGGAAUAUGCCUAUGAUGAGGGCUACACAGAGCCAGCGUACGAGUCAUACGACAAUUACUACAGUCAACCACAGGCAGAGCCAGAGUACUACGACUACGGACAUGGAGAGGUACAGGAGGCAUAUGAACCCUACGCCCAGGAUGACUGGAACGGAGCCCAGAGAGCGGCACCGGCGGGAAAGGCCCCACCUUCCAGAGCGGCUAAGGGCCCUUACCGAGAACACCCCUAUAGACAAUACUGAACUCACCAUGACAACGCCUAGCGACCAACGCUAACGAGUUGCCCUGACAACCAACAGACCUGUCUACCACGGGGGCUCUCGCUCUAAGCAACCCUCGAAAAAAGUCCAACUAUUAGUCAGUCAAGGACCAAUCAGAGGGUGGCUUACUGGAGAGAGAACCAAUCAGAGGUCGGCUUACUGGAAAGAUGAUACCAUACGUACCUCAGUGAGGUGGUGCAGGAGCAGCAGGGUCCUACAUGACAGAGCACUGGAUCUCCGUCAGGCUCCACAGUGAAGGGCUGACCCAGUGGAGGGCACCAAUACUGGGGUAGAGCAGUCCGGAAGGAGGGCAGGCUGCCAAGAGGACCAGAGAGCAGAUGUAACCUACAGAGAAGGGAGCCUCGGCCCCGCUAGAAAAUGAAGAGGGGUGAUUCUAUGAGGCUCUGUAUUAGAAUCUGGAUGAGGGGAGAAGAUUCUGGAAUGUGAAGCUAUGACACUUAACUAUGAAGCUAUGACACUGAAGCUAUGACAGUUAUUGUGAAGCUAUGACACUUAACUUUGAAGCUAUGACACUGAAGCUAUGACACUUAUUGUGAAGCUAUGACACUUACUGUGAAGCUAUGACACUGAAGCUAUGACACUAACUGUGAAUUUAUGACACUGAAGCUAUGACACUAACUGUGAAGCUAUGACACUAACUGUGAAGCUAUGACACUGAAGCUAUGACACUAACUGUGAAGCUAUGACACUAACUGUGAAGCUACGACACUGAAGCUAUGACACUAACUGUGAAGCUAUGACACUGAAGCUAUGACACUAACUGUGAAGCUAUGACACUUACUGUGAAGCUAUGACACUAACUGUGAAGCUACGACACUGAAGCUAACUGUGAAGCUAUGACACUGAAGCUAUGACACUAACUGUGAAGCUAUGACACUAACUGUGAAGCUAUGACACUUACUGUGAAGCUAUGACACUAACUGUGAAGCUAUGACACUUACUGUGAAGCUAUGACACUAACUGUGAAGCUAUGACACUAACUGUGAAGCUAUGACACUGAAGCUAUGACACUAACUGUGAAGCUAUGACACUGAAGCUAUGACACUAACUGUGAAGCUACGACACUGAAGCUAUGACACUAACUGUGAAGCUACGACACUGAAGCUAUGACACUAACUGUGAAGCUACGACACUGAAGCUAUGACACUAACUGUGAAGCUAUGACACUGAAGCUAUGACACUAACUGUGAAGCUACGACACUGAAGCUAUGACACUAACUGUGAAGCUAUGACACUGAAGCUAUGACACUAACUGUGAAGCUACGACACUGAAGCUAUGACACUAACUGUGAAGCUACGACACUGAAGCUAUGACACUAACUGUGAAGCUACGACACUGAAGCUAUGACACUAACUGUGAAGCUAUGACACUGAAGCUAUGACACUAACUGUGAAGCUACGACACUGAAGCUAUGACACUAACUGUGAAGCUACGACACUGAAGCUAUGACACUAACUGUGAAGCUACGACACUGAAGCUAUGACACUAACUGUGAAGCUAUGACACUGAAGCUAUGACACUAACUGUGAAGCUAUGACACUGAAGCUAUGACACUAACUGUGAAGCUAUGCUUGUGAUGGCUGUGUGACUCUGGCGUUUUGAUACUGUACUGCUUAUUCACUGCCAGGUACUUUUGAUACUAAACUAUUCUAUUGGUUUCUAAUGUGAACAGUUUCCAAGACCCUUUACAGUGUGUAGUAAGUGAAACUUCAUUGUUAUGGAAAUGUACAAUGAAAAUGCCCACCCAGGCUGUAACCAGCUGUGAAAUUGGUUUAAAUAUCCCUUUAAUUGGUUGUCUUCUAUUUUCUUUGAAGGGUUGAACACAUUUUGACUUUCUGCAAGGCAAGCUGUAUUUAUUCACGCCCUCAUAGAGAGAUUGUUCAUUAUACUGUUUUAGCAGAUACAGCCUGUGUCCAUGUCUGUUUCUUUGUCUUCAUGGUUUAAUAUCAUGGUAAAUGAUGCUAUGUGCUUGUGAAAUCAAGACACCCUAAGAGUGAAUCUGUUUCUGUUCUGCUCGGGUCCUCUGCCGCUCGCCACGUCGUUCACACACUGAAUAUCACUCACACAUACACACACACGUACAACAGACAAUCCAUGGCAUAACCCAGCCUAUGUUGCCCUAAAGAUAUGAAAUGCUAAUGUGAAAUGCAUUUGCAUGUUCUUUCCGCUCAAAUGUGCAAAGCUUUCGCAACAAAUGUUGGCUUGCUCAACGUCCAAGUCUGAUAAUACUCUGAGAUCUGGCUGUGAGGGGAAGUGUGUGUGAGGGAGAUGGAUAGAUUACCAGCAUUUGCUCUCUACCUCUCCUGCUCUCCCCUGACUCCAUCCCUUUCUCUCCUGCUCUCCCCUGACUCCAUCCCUUUCUCU